This 425-nucleotide ribosomal RNA is filed under the name uncultured bacterium. Its description in RNAcentral is "bacterial SSU rRNA". It matches the Rfam family "Bacterial small subunit ribosomal RNA", at positions 354 to 796 of the family's 1533-position model. The record is from RNAcentral.
GUGGGGAAUCUUAGACAAUGGGCGCAAGCCUGAUCUAGCCAUGCCGCGUGAGCGAUGAAGGCCUUAGGGUUGUAAAGCUCUUUCAGGGGGGAAGAUAAUGACGGUACCCCCAGAAGAAGCCCCGGCUAACUCCGUGCCAGCAGCCGCGGUAAUACGGAGGGGGCUAGCGUUGUUCGGAAUUACUGGGCGUAAAGCGCACGUAGGCGGACCAGAAAGUCAGGGGUGAAAUCCCGGGGCUCAACCCCGGAACUGCCUUUGAAACUCCUGGUCUUGAGGUCGAGAGAGGUGAGUGGAAUUCCGAGUGUAGAGGUGAAAUUCGUAGAUAUUCGGAGGAACACCAGUGGCGAAGGCGGCUCACUGGCUCGAUACUGACGCUGAGGUGCGAAAGCGUGGGGAGCAAACAGGAUUAGAUACCCGAGUAGUCC